RNAcentral lists this transfer RNA (67 nucleotides) under Perlesta teaysia. RNAcentral's name for it is "tRNA-Ser". Lineage: Eukaryota; Metazoa; Arthropoda; Insecta; Plecoptera; Perlidae. The record is from RNAcentral.
GAAAUGUGGGGCCCAAGAAGGAGCUGCUAACUCCUCUCUCUAGCGGUUAAACUCCGUUUACAUUUCU